AAGCUAUCAAGUAGGUGGCGAAGUAGGUGGCCAAUGUAAUGCAUAAACGGUUAGACAAUUCAUAUAGGCGUGCACAGAGAUACAUGUUACUGUAAGUUGUGAAUAUGAACAUAUACAGCAGGGUGGAUUUGUGGUGUACGGGACAUUACUUUGGCUUUCACAUCACCACUGAAUUUCAUUUAUAUCUACAUUGUUGAAGGCAUGACAUGGUUUUUGUUGCAUUGUUUGUGCCUUGAUUUGCAAUUGUACCAACAUAUGCUCUAUUUUUAGUCUGUUCAACUCAAUGUCACUGUUGCUAUGCAGCAUGGAGUACCAUAUGCAAAAG
This 325-nucleotide unclassified non-coding RNA is filed under the name Hevea brasiliensis (rubber tree). Lineage: Eukaryota; Viridiplantae; Streptophyta; Magnoliopsida; Malpighiales; Euphorbiaceae. The record is from RNAcentral.